CCGUUCGUAUGUACUGAGACUAUCUCAUCAUAUAACGAAAGAACAAUGAACACAGUAACUGUGUUUUUUAAUAAAGGUGUGUUUGGAUCCGUCACUAGUCCUAUCCCGAUUAAGCACGUGGUGUUUAGAGAACAAAAUUAUGUAGAGAAUUGUAAUUAAAAAGAAAAAAAAUUAAGUAGAUGAAAAUUAAAUGAGUCCCUCUUGACCAGCAUUCUAAAAGGCUAAAAAUUAAAAGAAUCACUCUUAGAGUGCUUGACAGCCUAACCGGAUCAAACAUCAAUUUUU
This 285-nucleotide long non-coding RNA is filed under the name Olea europaea (common olive). RNAcentral's name for it is "long non-coding RNA (OEUR_LNC014135)". Lineage: Eukaryota; Viridiplantae; Streptophyta; Magnoliopsida; Lamiales; Oleaceae. The record is from RNAcentral.